UGGGGAAUAUUGCGCAAUGGAGGAAACUCUGACGCAUCAACGCCGCGUGAGUGAAGAAGGUUUUCGGAUCGUAAAACUCUGUCUUUGGGGACGAAUAAAAUGACGGUACCCAAGGAGGAAGCCCCGGCUAACUACGUUCCAGCAGCCGCGGUAAUACGUAGGGGGCAAGCGUUGUCCGGAAUUACUGGGCGUAAAGAGUACGUAGGCGGUUUGUUAAGUUAGGUGUGAAAGUUUGCAGCUCAACUGUAAAAGUGCAUUUAAAACUGGCAGACUUGAGUCUCGGAGAGGUAAGCGGAAUUCCUAGUGUAGCGGUGAAAUGCGUAGAGAUUAGGAAGAACACCGGUGGCGAAGGCGGCUUACUGGAAGAGUACUGACGCUAAGGUACGAAAGCGUGGGGAGCAAACA
This 405-nucleotide ribosomal RNA is filed under the name uncultured prokaryote. RNAcentral's name for it is "bacterial SSU rRNA". It matches the Rfam family "Bacterial small subunit ribosomal RNA", at positions 355 to 774 of the family's 1533-position model. The record is from RNAcentral.